RNAcentral lists this transfer RNA (75 nucleotides) under Podarcis lilfordi (Lilford's wall lizard). Its description in RNAcentral is "tRNA.Lys". The stretch from base 6 to 71 matches the Rfam family "tRNA". From Rfam's summary of the family: Transfer RNA (tRNA) molecules are approximately 80 nucleotides in length. Their secondary structure includes four short double-helical elements and three loops (D, anti-codon, and T loops). Further hydrogen bonds mediate the characteristic L-shaped molecular structure. tRNAs have two regions of fundamental functional importance: the anti-codon, which is responsible for specific mRNA codon recognition, and the 3' end, to which the tRNAs corresponding amino acid is attached (by aminoacyl-tRNA synthetases). tRNAs cope with the degeneracy of the genetic code in two manners: having more than one tRNA (with a specific anti-codon) for a particular amino acid; and 'wobble' base-pairing, i.e. permitting non-standard base-pairing at the 3rd anti-codon position. The record is from RNAcentral. Lineage: Eukaryota; Metazoa; Chordata; Lepidosauria; Squamata; Lacertidae.
GCAGACAAUUGGCUCAGUCUGCAGACCAUGAGACUCUUAAUCUCAGGGUUGUGGGUUUGAGUCCCAUGUUGGGCA